RNAcentral lists this ribosomal RNA (284 nucleotides) under uncultured Pseudomonas sp. Its description in RNAcentral is "partial 16S ribosomal RNA". It matches the Rfam family "Bacterial small subunit ribosomal RNA", at positions 1100 to 1382 of the family's 1533-position model. Lineage: Bacteria; Pseudomonadati; Pseudomonadota; Gammaproteobacteria; Pseudomonadales; Pseudomonadaceae. The record is from RNAcentral.
AACCCUUGUCCUUAGUUACCAGCACGUUAUGUGGGCGACCCUAAGGAGACUGCCGGUGGACAAACCGGAGGAAGGUGGGGAUGACGUCAAGUCAUCAUGGCCCUUACGGCCUGGGCUACACACGUGCUACAAUGGUCGGUACAAAGGGUUGCCAAGCCGCGAGGUGGAGCUAAUCCCAUAAAACCGAUCGUAGUCCGGAUCGCAGUCUGCAACUCGACUGCGUGAAGUCGGAAUCGCUAGUAAUCGUGAAUCAGAAUGUCACGGUGAAUACGUUCCCGGGCCUU